UUGACGAAAACACCGGGUCUAAGUAAGUAUCUUUUUUAUUUUGGUAUAUGGAUUGUAUGAAGAUUUGAAAAACACAUAUAACUUUUGACUUUGCAGGACAAAUUUCAUUAGGAAUUUUCUUGUUGUAGAAGUAGAUUUGGCUAAAAGUUAGGUGCUUUUCCAAAUUGUGUUUAAAAGUCACAAGGAUAUCUUUGAUUUCUUGGAUUUGGAAAAGUGCAAGGAAGAGAGAGAAGAAGGAAUCUGGAUAGCUUGCUAGUUACCAAAUUUGGGAAAAGAAUGGAAGAACAUGAAUAGAGUUGCGGUGGAUAAUGAGACCAUCGGUGACAAGAUUUGAACCCGUGACAUGUGCCUAACCUACACGUCAUUUGUCACACUUUUAUCACUAGACGAAAGCCCCGGGUUGCAGCUAAUUAAUAUAUGGUCAUGGUCACAGGAAUUUAAUUAAGAACAUUGGUAGG
RNAcentral lists this long non-coding RNA (458 nucleotides) under Capsicum annuum. RNAcentral describes it as "long non-coding RNA (CANN_LNC000207)". The record is from RNAcentral. Lineage: Eukaryota; Viridiplantae; Streptophyta; Magnoliopsida; Solanales; Solanaceae.